UGCUGGUUUGACUGAUCAUUCGAUCUCAACCUUUUAUCACUCUCUUCACUCAUUCUUAAUGACUGUUGUGUCGGAUCGUGCACUGAUUAUUAUUGUGGUUUUUUUUUAUAUUAUUAUUCAACAUUGGAUUUAUGUUUGCUUGUUUGAUUAAUGAGUAAUGAUGAUCAUUAAUUUGGGCGAUGCAAGCUACAUGGGGACUAGGUUAUCGACAAGUAGAAUUUGAAGGAGAUAAUUUGAUUCUGAAUAAUAUUCUCCAUGGUAAAGGGCAGAAUUGGCGAGUUCAACAUUACAUUGAUACAAUCCAGAAUGGAAGGGCAUGUUCACCGACGUUGUGUUUCAGUUCAGGCAUCGAGAAGCUAACUUUUGUGCGGAUAUAUUAGCUAAGAAAGCUGUUUCUUCGGAUUUACCAUGGUCUCUGUACCAUUCUUGUCCUUUAUUCCUGCAACCUUAUGUAAACAAUGAUAUGGUUUUUUGAUUUCUAAUAAAGGAUCUUUAGUCGGAAAAAAAAAAAAAAAUCUCAAACACUUUUCAUUCAAUUAAAUCAUAAUUUUUACUCUUAGAUUGUCUAUUUUUUUCGACAACAUAAUAUCUAAUACAGUUCGAAAAUCUAAUUUGGUAUAUAUAUAUGGUUCUCAUUAUGACACUCAAUUAAAUAACCUAACUAAAUUCAUUUUUUAUGGUCUCAUUAUGAGACUUAAUUAAAUAACAUGGUUUAUAUGGUCUCAUUUUUUACUAUAUGGAGGAUGUGAUUGUUCACUUUUUUAAAUAAAAUAAAAUUAUGAUUUAAAUAUGAGAGGGCAAGAUAAUGGUUUAAAAUAAACUAUAAUUCUAUUAUAUAAUAUAAUAUUUACUAAUUUUAAAAUAAUUUUUAUUUUAAUAUUUUAUAUGUUCUGAUAACUUAACCCACAUAUGACCACAAUUAUAAAAAAAAACCUAAUAUAUCCUAUCUUUUUUUAUCAACCCUAACCUGUCAUAUCAAAUUAUAAUAUUUAUCAGUUUUCAAUUCGCUUAUUCUAUUAAGCAGAAAAUAACUGUGGUUAUGAAACCAUAAUUCUAACUCACCAUAUAUAAUAUAAUAUUUACUAAUUUUGAAAUAAUUUUUAUUUUAAUAUUUUAUAAGUUCUAACCACAAUUUUAGCUCACGUAAGACCACAAUUAUAAAAAAACAUAACCUAUUUUAUCAAAUUAUUAUAUAAUAUUAAUAUUUAUCAGUUUUUCAAUAUGUAAAAUUUUAGUUUGAUUUUAAAAUAUGAUUAAAUAGAAUAAAAUAUUCAUUAAUCAUAUAUGUUAUUCUGAAAAUAUUAGUUGAACUUAAAUGUUAAAUUAAAUGGAAUCUAUAUUUAAGGAAGUCUAAAGUAAUUUAAAUUAAUAUAUAUAUUUUCUAAAAUUAUAUUUAAUUACAAAAAUAAACAGUUUGUAUUUUAAAUUAAAUAGAAUUUAUAUUUAUGGAAAUCUUUAGGUAUCUAAAUUAAUCUCUAAUUUUCGAAAUUAAAUUUAUAUAUAAAAGAAAAUGUGUUUUUAGAUAAUAUUGCAAUAAAUUAGAAUAAUUUUAAAAUUGUUUUUAAAUAAUUUUAAUAAAAAGUUUUAAGAAUAUUUGGAAGCAAGUACUAAAAAUGGUUUUGUUUUAAUAUAAUAGAUUUAAAUAUGAAAGACCUACAUUGAUUUUUUCGUCAUUAAGUAGCUUGAUUCUUAUUUUAAAACAAAUUUAGCAGAAACCAUUAUGGCUGGGAAACUUUUGUCGUUUGGAGUACAAAAGCUUUGUGACGUACUGAGCCAAGAAUAUGCGCACUUUCAUGGAGUUGAUGAAGAAGUUACUGAACUCAAACGUGAACUUGACUUGUUAAGCUCUUUUCUGAAAGAUGCGAAUGUCAAGAAACAUACUAGUGCGGUGGUGAGAACAUUUUUGGAACAGAUCAAGGAAAUUAUUUAUGAUGCAGAAGAUAUAGUUGAUACCUUUCUUCUUAAAGAAAAAUUUGGAAAAACAAGUGGCAUCAAGAAGCGUAUCAGAAGACUUGCUUGUGUUUUUCCAGAUCGUCGGGAAAUUGCAUUAGAUAUUGAAGGCAUAAGUAAGACGAUCUCCAAGAUGAUUAGUGAUAUGCAAAGUUUUGGAAUACAGCAAAGUAUUGCUGAUGGCGGGUAUAUGCAACCUCUACAUGAUAGACAAAGAGAGAUGCGACAAGAAAUUGAUAGGGAACACGAAAGCAAUUUUGUGGGGGUGGAAGAAAAUGUUGAUAAGUUGCUUGGAUAUUUGGUGGAGGAUGAUAAUGUUCAAGUGGUUUCCAUGACUGGGAUGGGUGGUCUCGGAAAAACCACCCUUGCUAGACAAGCUUUUAAUCAUGAGAUGGUUAAACAUAAGUUUGAUAGACUAGCAUGGGUGUGUGUUUCACAAGAUUGUAAGCUGAAGAAUGUUUGGCAAACAAUCUUGCAGAAUCUCAAACCCGAAGAAGAAGAAAAGAAAAUACUGGAGAUGACAGAAUUUGCACUCCAUCGUGAACUCUUUGGACUGCUGGAAACAUCUAAAUCUUUAAUUGUCUUUGAUGACAUUUGGAAAGAAGAAGACUGGAGCGUAAUCAAGCGAAUAUUUCCACCCAAAAAAGGUGAUUUUUACUUAACAAAAAGAAAGAUGAAAACAAGUAAUACUCAUUAUGCUCUUUUUGUAUGAUUAUUAUGAAAUGAGUAAAUAUUUUGCAGGUUGGAAGGUGUUACUUACUUCUCGAAAUGAGAAUGUCGCAGGGCAUGGAGAUACAACAUAUAUCAACUUCAAACCGGGAUGCCUAACUAUUGAAGACAGUUGGACACUUUUCCAAAAAAUAGCAAUGCCAAGCAAAGAUGCAUCCAGUAAGCAUUCAAAAGCAGCGAUUUUUUUUUUCUUCAUUUUGAUCAAAAUGAAAUAUGUUUUUGAAUGAUAUCAAGACAAUCUUCUUAGCCCUAAAUAACUGAUUGUAGUAUAUCAUUAUCACAACCUAUUGAACUGUUACUUUUGUUGUCCAAAUGAAGUUUUUUUGUUUUCUUCUAUGAUGUUGUGCAGAUUUGAAGAAGGUUGAUGAGGAAAUGGAAGAGAUGGGUAAGCAAAUGAUCAAACAUUGUGGGGGAUUGCCUUUGUCAGAGUAUUAGGAGGCUUAUUGGCUACAAAACACACACUGUACGAUUGGGAACUAGUAUCUGAGAAUAUUCAAUCUCAUCUCAUGGGAAGAACUGAGUUCAAUGGUGACAACAACAGUUUAAUUUACCAUGUAUUGUCACUGAGCUUUGAAGAGCUGCCUAGUCAUUUAAAGCAUUGCUUCCUCUACUUGGCCCAUUUUCCAGAAGAUUAUGAAAUACGUGUGCAUGAACUCUCCUAUUACUGGGCUGCAGAAGAAAUACGCAGGUAUCACGAUAGAGAGACCAUUCGAGAUGUUGGAGAAAUGUAUAUAGAGGAGUUGGUGAGGAGAAAUAUGGUUAUUUCCCAAAGAGACGUGAAAACUCUGAGAUUUGAAACUUGUCAUUUGCAUGACAUGAUGAGAGAAAUUUGUUUGUCUAAAGCGAAAGAAGAGAACUUCCUACAAAUAGUCGGUAUCUGCUCCCAGACCCCACGCUCUUGUAGUACAUCUCGCAGAUUUGUGUCACAGCAUCCGACUACAUUAGAUGUUGAGAGAGAGAUAAAUAAUUCAAAGGUUCGAUCUCUCGUUGUUGUCUGCAAGGAUAACUAUAGCAGCGAAUGGAAGCCAUCAAGUUUAAGCUUUACGAAGUUACAACUGCUGAGGGUAUUAAAUCUCACUGCAGCCAGAUUUGAAGGAAAGAAGUUACCUUAUAGCAUUGGAAAGCUCAUCCAUUUAAGAUAUCUGAAUUUAAAAAAUGCAUAUAUCACUCAUCUACCAUCUUCUCUACAAAAUCUGAAGCUGAUGCUCUAUUUGAAUCUAUGUGUAGAGAGCUGGGCAUCUCCAGUAUAUGUGCCCAAUGUCUUAAAAGAGAUGCGGGAAUUGAGAUACCUUGAAUUACCAAGAAAUAUGAAAAAGAAGUCAAAGUUGGAAUUGAGGAAUCUAGAGAAAUUGGAGACCUUGAAGCAUUUCUCAACGGAGAAUAGCAGUGUAGAGGAUCUAAGUGGUAUGUACAGGUUGAGGACUCUCGAAAUCGAUUUAAAUGAGAGGACAAGUAUAGAAGCUCUGUCGGCAUCAAUAGGUGGACUGAGACACCUGGAAGAUCUUGAUAUAUAUGAUAGUGCGUCGAUUGACAAGAGGAAGAAAGAAAAGGGAUUUGUUAUUGAGGCCGUUCGUCUCAAACAUCUGUCUUUAGAGAUAUAUAUGCCAAGCGUACCUAAACCCUUGCCUUCUCACCUUACAACCAUAUCUCUUCAGGAUUGUUGUUUGGAAGAGGAUCCAAUGCCGAUUCUAGAAAAGUUACCCCAAUUGAAAGAGGUUUGUUUAUGGACGAAUAGUUUCAGUGGGAGGAGAAUGGUUUGCUCAGCUGGUGGGUUUCCUCAAUUGCAGAAGCUUGAGUUUGGUGGAUUAGAAGAGUGGGAAGAGUGGAUAGUAGAAGAAGGCUCCAUGCCCCUUCUUCAUUCUUUGACGAUUAUUAGCUGUACGAAGUUAGAAGAGUGGAUAGUAGAAGAAGGCUCCAUGCCCCUUCUUCAUACUUUGAUGAUUGAAGGAUGUAGUUUGAAAGAGGAUCCGAUGCCGAUUUUAGAGAAGUUACCCCAAUUGAAAGAGGUUAAAUUAGAUAAUGAAUCUUUCAGUGGGAGGAGAAUGGUUUGCUCGGCCGGUGGGUUUCCUCAAUUGCAGAAGCUUCGGUUCGAUGGAUUAGAAGAGUGGGAAGAGUGGAUAGUAGAAGAAGGCUCCAUGCCCCUUCUUCAUACUUUGAAGAUUAAAGGAUGUAGUUUGAAGGAUCCGAUGCAGAUUUUAGAGAAGUUACCCCAAUUGAAAGAGGUUAUAUUAGAUAAUAAAUCUUUCAGUGGGAGGAUAAUGGUUUGCUCGGCCGGUGGGUUUCCUCAAUUGCAGAAGCUUAAGUUUGCUGGAUUAGAAGAGUGGGAAGAGUGGAUAGUAGAAGAAGGCUCCAUGCCCGUUCUUUAUAGUUUGGUGAUUAAAGACUGUAAGAAGUUUAAAGAGCUUCCUGAUGGGUUACGAUUCAUCACUUCCUUGAAGAAUCUGAAGAUUGAAUAUAUGGGAGAGGAAUGGAAGGAGAGACUGUCGGAAGGAGGAGAAGAUUAUUACAAAAUCCAACACAUCCCUUCUGUUACAUUCGGAAACGAAUGAUUGAGAAUGAGGCUUUCAGAAUUACAGUACAGACAGACGUACCAGGUACACAAAAUCAUCCUCAGAAAAGGGGAAAUGAAUUCUCUGUUUGUUUUCACAAUUGAAUCUAAAAUUCUUAGAGUGGAUUACAAUUCUGCUGAAAUUCUGUUUCAUUCGUAUGUUUUGUAGACGAAUCUCUUCCCAGGCGAAUCACUCUUAUCAAACUGGUCAUCUGCCUUUUGCAUUUGUUGUUUUCUCAGUUUACAUAAUCAGACUUACAAUUUCUAUUAUUUAUGUUUGCUGGUUUGACUGAUCAUUCGAUCUCAACCUUUUAUCACUCUCUUCACUCAUUCUUAAUUACUGUUGUGUUGGAUCGUGCACUGAUUAUUAUUGUGGUUUUUUUUUAUAUUAUUAUUCAACAUUGGAUUUAUGUUUGCUUGUUUGAUUAAUGAGUAAUGAUGAUCAUUAAAUCUCAAACACUUUUCAUUCACCUUUCGGUCAUUCCUAAUUUCCUGU
This 5723-nucleotide long non-coding RNA is filed under the name Eutrema salsugineum. Its description in RNAcentral is "long non-coding RNA (ESAL_LNC000214)". The record is from RNAcentral. Lineage: Eukaryota; Viridiplantae; Streptophyta; Magnoliopsida; Brassicales; Brassicaceae.